This 258-nucleotide long non-coding RNA is filed under the name Lathyrus oleraceus (garden pea). RNAcentral's name for it is "Pisum sativum (pea) long non-coding RNA (PSAT_LNC014296)". The record is from RNAcentral. Lineage: Eukaryota; Viridiplantae; Streptophyta; Magnoliopsida; Fabales; Fabaceae.
AUAAUUAAACAAAGUUGUGAUAGCUGGAAUAAUGAACAAAUCCAAGGAACUCCUUAAGAGCCCUAAAUAUUACAUAACAAGCAUCAAUAAGGACUGCCACAAAAUACAAAAAAAAACAAAAAAACACCAGUCUUUCAAACAGCAGACCAACUUCCACCAAACUUUCCAGCACUCCUCCCAGUCUUCACUUCAGCCCGGGACCAUUAAUCAAAAGAAGAAGAAUCAUCUUCACCUUCACUUGUAUCUUCACCAGCACCU